AGUUUGUACAAUGGCCGCAAGCUUGAUCCAGCCCUGCGGCGAGAGUGAAGAAGGCUUUCGGGUUGUCAAGCUCUUUCGGACGAAAUGAAAUCGCGCAGCCUAAUACUCUGCGCGGAUGACGGCACCGUCAUAAGAACGUCCGGUUAACGUCGUGCCAGCGGCCGCGGUAAUACGUAGGGUUCGAGCGUUAAUCGGAAUUACGGGGCGUAAAGCGUGCGCAGGCAGUGGAUUAAGACAGGGGUGAAAUCCCCGGGGUUAACCUGGGAACUGCGCGUGUGACUGGUCAGCUAGAGAACGGCAGGGAGGGUGGAAUUCCACGUGUAGCAGUGAAAUGCGUAGAGAUGUGGAGGAACACCGAUGGCGAAGGCAGCACCCUGGGCCGAUACUGACGCACAUGCACGAAAGCGUGAAUAGCAAACAGG
RNAcentral lists this ribosomal RNA (422 nucleotides) under uncultured bacterium. RNAcentral's name for it is "partial 16S ribosomal RNA". It matches the Rfam family "Bacterial small subunit ribosomal RNA", at positions 359 to 776 of the family's 1533-position model. The record is from RNAcentral.